This 3715-nucleotide ribosomal RNA is filed under the name Candidatus Pacearchaeota archaeon. Its description in RNAcentral is "23S ribosomal RNA". It matches the Rfam family "Archaeal large subunit ribosomal RNA". Lineage: Archaea; Nanobdellati. The record is from RNAcentral.
CAAUCUGAUUUUAACAAACUAGUAGAUGGAUAGCUUGGUUUGGACUGUGAUGAAGGACGUGGCAAGCUGCGAUAAGCUCUGGGUAGGUGCAUGCGACCAUUGAACCAGAGAUCUCCUAAUGUGACAACAUGUUAUUCAUACAGAAAUGUAAAUGUACGCCGGGAAUUGAAACAUCUUAGUACCGGCAGGAAAAGAAAGCAAUUGCGAUUCUCUUAGUAGUGGCGAACGAAAAGAGACAAGGGCAAACCGAAUCUCCGUCGGAAACGACGGCAGAGAUGUGGUGCAGAUGAAUUGCUAAGUUGAUGAGUUGAAGUUUUCUGGAAAGUGACGCUUUAGAGGGUGAUAGCCCCGUAAACUAAAUCAAUAUGUAGUUCUGCGAAAGAGUAGGGCUCCUUAGAUAAGGGGUCUGAAUAUAGGUGGAUUAACACCUAACCCUAAACAUUAGUCCAAGUCCGAUAGUGAACUUAGUACCGCGAGGGAAAGCUGAAAAGUACUCUUAAUAGAGUGUGAAAAGACUUGAAAUCUUCUAGUGACAGCUGGUUACUGCUCUGUCUAUGACGGGGUUGUAACGUACGUUUGGAAAAAUGGGCCAAGGAGUUUGCUUAAGUGGCGAGGUUAGCGAAAGCAGCCAUAGCGAAAGCGAGUGUGAAAGCGCGUUAGUCACUUGGGUAAGACCCGGAGCCGGAUGAUCUAUUCGUGGGCAGGCUGAAGUUUUUCGAAAGGAAAAUGGAGGGCCGAACCGGUGUUGUGCGCAUGCACUCGAAUGACCUGCGAAUAGGGGUGAAAAGCCAAUCUAAUUCGGCGAUGGCUGGUUCCUGUCGAAAUAUGCCUAAGUAUAGUCUUGUUUAGUUAGACAGCGAGGUAAAGUACGGAUAAGGUUUGCAGGGCCGAAAGGUUACGGAACCCCUUCCAACUCUGAACUUGUUGCCGACGUAAAACAGGAAUGGCGGGCGGUGCGUAAGGUACUGUUCGAAGACCCGAACAAGGGAGACUGGAGUUAAGGUCCUAAAAUGUAUGCUAAGUGUAACAAAAGGUGUCUUGAACCUAAGACAGUGGGGAUGUAGGCCCAGAAGCAGCCAACAUUCAAAGAAAGCGUAAUAGCUCACCUAUUGAGGUUCGAGGCCCUGAAAAUGGACGGGGCUAAGCAUACUACCGACACUCCAGAGGCUUUCGAAAGAAAGUUCUGGUAGGCAGGCGUCUUUUCUGCGUAGAAGGUUUUCCGAGAGGAAGGCUGGAGCGGGAAGGAAUGAGAAUCUUGGCGUUAGUAAGAUCAGAUUACUCUGAGAAUGAGUAGCACCGCAAGAGCAAGGUUUCCUUGGCAAUAUCGUUUAACCAAGGGUUAGUCGGCGCCUAAGUUGUAUCUUAACUGAAUACAGCGAAUGGAAAUCCGGUUAAUAUUCCGGAACUUGUUAGUCUUUGAUAUGUGAUUUGCUUUGGGAUAGGCAGGUACCCGAAAGGGUGCUGAGCUAUAGAAAUCUGUGGAUCGUAAUGAAGCGAAGCAGAAGAAUAUGGUAAGGGAAAGCUGUUGAAUCCGAGGGUCCAUGAAAAGUCAUAUAUCGCGUGGGACUAUCAAGCCGUACCCAGAAUCGACACUGAUGCUCUGGCUUAGUAGGCUAAGGUGUGAAAGGACAAACUGGUUUAGGGAAUUCGGCAAUCUAGCCCUGUAUCUUCGGUAUAAGGGGUGUCUAUAGUUGUGCUUGAUAUGUAGAGUGCAACAGUAGAUCGCAGUGACAAGGACUGCCCGACUGUUUAUCAAAAACGUAGCUGAUUGCUAAUCCGAAAGGACUUGUAUAAUCGGUGAGAUCUGCCCAGUGGCGGUGUUUCAAACCUGGGUUCAACCGGGCUAAGACCCGCUAAACGGCGGGCCUAACUAUGAGGCUCUUAAGGUAGACAUUACAUGCCUUACGGCACAGAAAUGUGGCGCUCUAAGUCUUGUAGUUUUGUAUGAUAAAUAGUUAUAGCAGAAGACAAAAUAUUUUGAACAUUUUUUUGUUCUUCCGCUAAUAGUCUAAGACAAAUACUGUUCAAUUAUAAAUGUCUUAGACUAUAGUCGAAUUAAACCAAAAGAGAAAAUCGAGCUAUAUGCUGGAAAAUCUGAGUAUCCCACUCUACGACGACAACAAACAUUUUUAUUGUUGGUUCGCGUUAAAAUGAGAUGGGUGCAGACAAUCAGCAGGAAAGACUAGAAGAUGAAUAAAUUUAUAUCUUAGUUUAUCUAAGAAUUUUUAUGGAUUGUAUGAUUUGCGGAAUAGUUUCUAAAAAGAAAAAUUUUCCCAUGCCCAUAAUUUAUGAGGGAGAAAAUUGGAUAGUUAAUCAAGCGUAUCCUUCUAAAAUUAGAGGUUGGUUGGUAAUCUCCGUAAAAAAGCAUAGAAAGGCAUUUCAUGAGAUUACGAUUAAAGAAUCUCUUGAAUUAAGUAAGAUUUUACUGAUGUUAUCUAGAGCUUUGAAAGAGACUACUAAAUGUAAAAAAGAAUAUAUUCUUUCUACAAAUGAGGGUAUUGAGCAUUUGCAUUUUCAUAUAGUUCCAAGAGAAAGAAAAUUUAAAAAAGAAUGGAUUGGAUUAAAGAUAUAUAAUGCAAUUAGAAUUGAAGAAAAAGAUUCGAUAUCUAAAAAAGAACUUAUUCAAUUUAGCAAAAUGAUAAAGGAAAAAAUAAUUUUCUAGAAUCCUCAGAGACUAAUACGCUCGACACUAAUUAAUUAGUGAAGAUAGAGUCCGAGCUUUAUGGCGACAUAAAGAAUUGCAGUUCGCUCGACAGAUGAAUUGCAGAUUAACAUUAAUGAGCGUAAUGCCUUGUCGUCUGAAUGGCGACGUGCAUGAAUGGUUUAACGAGGUAGUCGCUGUCCCAAGCCAGGUCCUUCUGAACUCACUUACCGGUGAACAUGCCGGUGACGCCUAGUGGGAAGCGGAGACCUUAUGAACCUUUACUACAACUUGUUGUUGUGAUGUUGAGGAGAGUGCAUAGAAUAAGUAGGAGCGUAGAUGUUUAUCUUUAGGGAUAAACGGAGCGAUAAUGUAAUACUACUCACCCUUCUUGGCAUUACUUACCUGAGAGGGGACACCAGCAGGCGGGUAGUUUGGCUGGGGCGGCACCCUGCAGAAAAGAUAUCUGUAGGGCCCAAAGACAAGCUCAUUCGGGUUGGAAAUCUGAAGGAGAGUGCGAGGGCAAAAGCUUGUCUAACUGUACUUCGAAAAGCAAGAUGUGCAGAGAUGAAAGUCGGGCCUAGCGACCCCACGUAGUUUCUUAAUAGGACUCGUGUGUGACAGAAAAGGUACUCUAAGGAUAACAGGCUCGUCGCCCCCGAUAGUCCGUAUUGACGGGGCGGUUUGGUACAUCGCUGUCGGCUCUUCCUAUCCUGGUAGUGCACAAGCUACCAAGGGUGUCGGAGUUCACGCAUUAAAAGGGAUCGUUAGCUGGGUUAAGAACGUCGUGAGACAGUUUGUAUGAUAUCUACUAGGCGCGUUGUUGUUUGAGUGGAACGAGGACAAAGUACGAGAGGAACUGUCCUCGGGUGCCUCUGGUCAGCAGUUGUUAUAAGCAGGCUGCUCAGCUAUGCACUGUAUGGAUAAGUGCUGAAAGCAUCUAAGCACGAAGCCAGCCGCAAGACGAAACAACAUAGGCCGCAGAAGAAGACUGCGUUGAUAGAGUUGGUGUGUAAGAUUCAAGGCAACGAGAAUUUAAGCAUGCAACUACUAAAAGCCACAAUUAUCAAUUGU